RNAcentral lists this ribosomal RNA (408 nucleotides) under uncultured bacterium. RNAcentral's name for it is "partial 16S ribosomal RNA". It matches the Rfam family "Bacterial small subunit ribosomal RNA", at positions 28 to 526 of the family's 1533-position model. The record is from RNAcentral.
GACGAACGCUGGCGGCGUGCCUAAUACAUGCAAGUCGACCUUAGUGGCGAACGGGUGAGUAACACGUGGGUAACCUGCCCAUUAGAAGGGGAUAACACUUGGAAACAGGUGCUAAUACCGCAUACUGACGGCUGGACCCGCGGUGCAUUUGCUAGCUGGUGGGGUAACGGCUCACCAAGGCCACGAUGCAUACCCGACCUGGGAGGGUGAUCGGCCACAGUGGGACUGGGACCGGGCCCGAACUCCUGCGGGAGGCAGCAGUGGGGAAUCUUCGGCAAUGGACGAAAGUCUGACCGAGCAACGCCGCGUGAGUGAAGAAGGUUUUCGGAUCGUAAAACUCUGUUGUUGGGGGAGCGGUAUCUGACCAGAAAGCCACGGCUAACUACGUGCCAGCAGCCGCGGUAAUAC